This 378-nucleotide ribosomal RNA is filed under the name uncultured bacterium. RNAcentral describes it as "bacterial SSU rRNA". It matches the Rfam family "Bacterial small subunit ribosomal RNA", at positions 28 to 404 of the family's 1533-position model. The record is from RNAcentral.
GACGAACGCUGGCGGCGUGCUUAACACAUGCAAGUCGAGCGGUAAGGCCCUUUCGGGGGUACGACGAGCGGCGAACGGGUGAGUAACACGUGGGUGACCUGCCCUCAGCUCUGGGAUAAGCCCGGGAAACUGGGUCUAAUACCGGAUAUGACUCCAUGACGCAUGUUGUGGGGUGGAAAGCCUUGUGCGGCUGAGGAUGGGCCCGCGGCCUAUCAGCUUGUUGGUGGGGUGAUGGCCACCAAGGCGACGACGGGUAGCCGGCCUGAGAGGGCGACCGGCCACACUGGGACUGAGAUACGGCCCACGACUCCUACGGGAGGGCAGCAGUGGGGAAGUCUUGCGCAAUGGGCGAAAGCCUGACGCAGCGACGCCGCGUGA